UUCCACAGUAGCGUACAAAUA
Caenorhabditis elegans is the source of this 21-nucleotide non-coding RNA. The record is from Ensembl. NCBI's taxonomy places the organism in Eukaryota, Metazoa, Nematoda, Chromadorea, Rhabditida, Rhabditidae.